CAGGGCAGAUGACCCUUGGUAGAUAUGUCGAGUCAGAACCCACUUCCAGCGAUUAAGCUGGUAUUCCCAUGCCAGGAAGCCCCGCCGUUCACGGCGGGGAGGAUGUCACCGAGGUAUCC
Molecule: small RNA, 119 nt
Filed under: uncultured archaeon A07HR60
Lineage: Archaea
Description: HgcC family RNA
Source: RNAcentral